This 207-nucleotide ribosomal RNA is filed under the name uncultured bacterium. RNAcentral describes it as "partial 16S ribosomal RNA". It matches the Rfam family "Bacterial small subunit ribosomal RNA", at positions 568 to 774 of the family's 1533-position model. The record is from RNAcentral.
CGUGUAGGCGGUUUGUUAAGUCAUGUGUGAAAUCCCCCGGCUUAACCGAGGAACGACGCAUGAAACUGGCAAGCUAGAGUACCGAAGAGGGGGGUGGAAUUCCCGGUGUAGCGGUGAAAUGCGUAGAUACCGGGAGGAACACCUGUGGCGAAAGCGGCGCACUGGACCACAACUGACGCUGAGGCGCGAAAGCUAGGGGAGCAAACA